AUGAUUAAAAUUGAUUUAGCCAAAGCUUUCGACAGAAUUGAAUGGGACUUUAUCAUGCAAGCGCUCUCACGUAAAAUGUUGCAUGGCCAUUUCAUAAAUUUGAUCCAUGCUUGUAUUGCAACCCCCACUUUUUCGUUGAUCAUUAAUGGCCAGUCAUAUGGUUGUUUCAAAAGUAACAGAGGUAUCAAACAAUGUUGCCCUUUAUCCUCUUAUUUGUUUGACCUUGCAAUUAAUGAACUCUCCAUUUCCAUGCAGGAAUCCAUGUAUUUAACGGGGAUUUCUUUAGGGCCAGAAUGUCCUCCUAUCCAUUCUCUUAUGUUUGCUGAUGAUUUAUUGAUCUGCGGACAGGCUACUAUCAAUGAAGCAUGCCACAUCCACCACAUCCUUCAAAGAUGUUGUAGCCUUUCAGGUCAAAUGCCAAACUGGAGUAAGUCUGGACUUAUAUUCAGCAAGAAUGUUACCACCAACAUUAAAUAG
This 477-nucleotide ribosomal RNA is filed under the name Triticum aestivum (bread wheat). RNAcentral describes it as "partial small subunit ribosomal RNA". Lineage: Eukaryota; Viridiplantae; Streptophyta; Magnoliopsida; Poales; Poaceae. The record is from RNAcentral.